CCUACGGGAGGCAGCAGUGAGGAAUAUUGGUCAAUGGACGCAAGUCUGAACCAGCCAUGCAGCGUGCAGGAUGACGGCCCUAUGAGUUGUAAACUGCUUUUGUACGAGGGUAAACUCCGAUACGCGUAUCUUUCUGCACGUACCGCACGAAUAAAGACCGGCUAAUUCCGUGCCAGCAGCCGCGGUAAUACGGAGGAUUCAAGCGUUAUCCGGAUUUAUUGGGUUUAGAGGGAGCGUAGGCCGGCGGUUAAGUUAGAGGUGAAAUCCCGAGGCUUAAACUCGGAAUUGCCUCUGCUACUGGGCGGCUAGAGAGUGGUGGAGGUAGGCGGAAUGGAUGGUGUAGCGGUGAAAUGCUUAGAUAUCAUAAAGAACACCGAUUGCGAAGGCAGCUUACC
This 395-nucleotide ribosomal RNA is filed under the name uncultured bacterium. Its description in RNAcentral is "partial 16S ribosomal RNA". It matches the Rfam family "Bacterial small subunit ribosomal RNA", at positions 338 to 730 of the family's 1533-position model. The record is from RNAcentral.